This 501-nucleotide ribosomal RNA is filed under the name uncultured bacterium. RNAcentral describes it as "partial 16S ribosomal RNA". It matches the Rfam family "Bacterial small subunit ribosomal RNA", at positions 28 to 523 of the family's 1533-position model. The record is from RNAcentral.
GAUGAACGCUAGCAGGAGGCUUAACACAUGCAAGUCGUGGGGCAGCACGGGGUAGCAAUACUCUGGUGGCGACCGGCGCACGGGUGAGUAACGCGUAUGCAACCUGCCCUGUACAGGGGGAUAGCCCGGAGAAAUUCGGAUUAAUACCCCAUAAAGAUAUAGAGAGGCAUCUUUUUAUAUUUAAAGCUUCGGCGGUACGGGAUGGGCAUGCGUGACAUUAGCUAGUUGGUAGGGUAACGGCCUACCAAGGCUUCGAUGUCUAGGGGUCCUGAGAGGGUGAUCCCCCACACUGGUACUGAGACACGGACCAGACUCCUACGGGAGGCAGCAGUGAGGAAUAUUGGUCAAUGGGCGGAAGCCUGAACCAGCAUCCCGCGUGAAGGAAGAAGGCGCUAUGCGUUGUAAACUUCUUUUCCAGGGGAAUAAAAUUUCGUACGUGUACGGAACUGAAGGUACCUUGGGAAUAAGCAUCGGCUAACUCCGUGCCAGCAGCCGCAGUAA